GUGCCAGCAGCCGCGGUAAUACGGAGGAUCCAAGCGUUAUCCGGAAUCAUUGGGUUUAAAGGGUCCGUAGGUGGAAGGUUAAGUCAGAGGUGAAAUCCUGCAGCUCAACUGUAGAAUUGCCUUUGAUACUGGCUUUCUUGAAUUACUGUGAAGUAGCUAGAAUAUGUAGUGUAGCGGUGAAAUGCAUAGAUAUUACAUAGAAUACCGAUUGCGAAGGCAGGUUACUAACAGUACAUUGACACUGAUGGACGAAAGCGUGGGUAGCGAACGGGAUUAGAUACCCCGGUAGUCCACGCCGUAAACGAUGGAUACUAGCUGUCCGGAUUUAUCUGGGUGGCUAAGCGAAAGUGAUAAGUAUCCCACCUGGGGAGUACGUUCGCAAGAAUGAAACUCAAAGGAAUUGACGGGGGCCCGCACAAGCGGUGGAGCAUGUGGUUUAAUUCGAUGAUACGCGAGGAACCUUACCAGGGCUUAAAUGUAGGCUGCAUGGGGUAGAGAUAUCCCUUUCUUCGGACUGCUUACAAGGUGCUGCAUGGUUGUCGUCAGCUCGUGCCGUGAGGUGUCAGGUUAAGUCCUAUAACGAGCGCAACCCCUGUUGUUAGUUGCCAGCGAGUAAUGUCGGGAACUCUAACAAGACUGCCGGUGCAAACCGUGAGGAAGGUGGGGAUGACGUCAAAUCAUCACGGCCCCUUACGUCCUGGGCUACACACGUGCUACAAUGGUAGGGGCACAGAGAGCCAGCCCACUUCGC
This 751-nucleotide ribosomal RNA is filed under the name uncultured Yeosuana sp. RNAcentral's name for it is "bacterial SSU rRNA". It matches the Rfam family "Bacterial small subunit ribosomal RNA", at positions 505 to 1258 of the family's 1533-position model. Lineage: Bacteria; Pseudomonadati; Bacteroidota; Flavobacteriia; Flavobacteriales; Flavobacteriaceae. The record is from RNAcentral.